RNAcentral lists this ribosomal RNA (267 nucleotides) under Triticum aestivum (bread wheat). RNAcentral's name for it is "partial small subunit ribosomal RNA". Lineage: Eukaryota; Viridiplantae; Streptophyta; Magnoliopsida; Poales; Poaceae. The record is from RNAcentral.
AUGAAUGGAUACUUAGAGAUAGAAUGAGAAAAAGCAAAUUUGAUUAAUGCUACUUCUAUUAGUUUGGAACAAUUGGAAAAGUCUAAAAAUGAAACCCUUUAUUUUGAAAAACAAAGGGCAAUGAAUCAGGUCCGACAGCGGGUUUUCCAACAGGUCGUACAAGGAGCUCUAGGAACUCUGAAUAGUUGUUUGAAUACCGAGUUACAUUUCUGUACGAUUCGUGCUAAUAUUGGCAUUCUCAGGUCCUGGAAUGGAAGCGAUAAUUAA